AUGAACGCUGGCGGCGUGCCUAAUCCCUGCCAGUCGAGCGAACAGACGAGGAGCUUGCUCCUCUGACGUUAGCGGCGGACGGGUGAGUAACACGUGGAUAACCUACCUAUAAGACUGGGAUAACUUCGGGAAACCGGAGCUAAUACCGGAUAAUAUAUUGAACCGCAUGGUUCAAUAGUGAAAGACGGUUUUGCUGUCACUUAUAGAUGGAUCCGCGCCGCAUUAGCUAGUUGGUAAGGUAACGGCUUACCAAGGCAACGAUGCGUAGCCGACCUGAGAGGGUGAUCGGCCACACUGGAACUGAGACACGGUCCAGACUCCUACGGGAGGCAGCAGUAGGGAAUCUUCCGCAAUGGGCGAAAGCUUGACGGAGCAACGCCGCGUGAGUGAUGAAGGUCUUCGGAUCGUAAAACUCUGUUAUUAGGGAAGAACAAAUGUGUAAGUAACUAUGCACGUCUUGACGGUACCUAAUCAGAAAGCCACGGCUAACUACGUG
Molecule: ribosomal RNA, 496 nt
Filed under: uncultured bacterium
Lineage: Bacteria
Description: partial 16S ribosomal RNA
Rfam family: Bacterial small subunit ribosomal RNA
Source: RNAcentral